UACAGAGGUCUCGAGCGUUAGGCGGGAUCACUGGGCUUAAAGCGUGUGUAGGCGGGUCGUUAAGUGCCUUGUGAAAUCCCAUGGCUCAACCAUGGAACUGCUGGGCAUACUGGCGAUCUUGUGCAACCUAGGGGCGAGCGGAACAGAUGGUGGAGCGGUGAAAUGCGUAGAUAUCAUCUGGAACGCCAAUGGUGAAAACAGCUCGCUGGGGGUUUGCAGACGCUGAGACACGAAAGCCAGGGGAGCGAACGGG
This 253-nucleotide ribosomal RNA is filed under the name uncultured bacterium. Its description in RNAcentral is "partial 16S ribosomal RNA". It matches the Rfam family "Bacterial small subunit ribosomal RNA", at positions 524 to 776 of the family's 1533-position model. The record is from RNAcentral.